GUGAAAAAUAUUAAAAUUGUUAAAAUUUUUGUCAAGUGUGACUUGCCGGAACUCCUAGGUUGGUAAGUGUGGAGUAGGAAUUGGCAUCUUUCUACAAGUGGUUGAAAGGGAUUUUCAAUUACAAGUGGGUAAUCAAGGUCAUUAAGUUGAACUUGAUUUAACUUUCCUGCAAGUGGUUAAGAAAAAGGGGAUUUAUUCAUAAUAUGAAGAAAGAACAAAAUGAUGAACUCAACCCCAAUCUUACAAGUGGUAAAAUCAACAAAACUUAUUUUCCGGAAAAACCAUUUUUGAUUAAAACAAACUUAAGUGUUUUGAAAUCAUAAUAGGAAAAUAGUUUGUUGUUAGUGGGAGUUCUGAUUGUUUAUGCCAGUUGGAUAGAGAUUUGAAGCUUCAAAGAUCAGUUGUCACUUUAUCUGUACAGUUUGUUUUCAAAUUUUCCCAGAAAAUCAAAAUUGAAACAUAUUUUGAUUUUAGGGGGAGUAAAAAUUUAGGAAAUUUCGAAAAUUUGAAAAAUCCAAAAAAACAUUAAAAAAAUUCAUAAACUGAGUUUUGUUGUAAAAAGAGGAAAUAAUAGUAUAUCAGUAGACUAUCACAGCACGUUAAAGAUUUGGAAAGUCAAAUGUGAUAAACGAUCUCAUUGUUGAUGUGUCAGUAGGUUUUUAUACAUUCAGUAUAUUCUUUUUCGAGAUAUAAACGUAAAUUCAAAUGCUUACUUAUCUCGUGGGGAACAUCUCUCGGAUAUAUGGGUAACCCCCGAAAUCUUGGUUGAAAGAUUUUCUAUUUCUGACAUACUAGGACUUUGUGCGUGGUGAUAUCUGGGGUAUUAUACCAGGACUUCUGAUUUUGCGGGAGUAAUAGCCUAGUCCUCGUAUAAUACUUUGCAUAAGCUUUAAUCUUAAAGUCAGCCCUCAGCAUAAAAAAUGAUGAAACAUUGAAAAAUGCUAAUCAUGUGCUGUUGAAUAAAAGAUCCCCAAACGGGACACACCUAAAGUCGAGCCGUCAUCUCUCUGAUUGAACGGAAGUUCUAGCCGGAGCUCUUACGGUCUCGCAUUUACCCGUUUACAGAUAUCAUUAGUGUCCACUCACCUGUAAGACUGAAUAUAGAAAUCUGGAUACGAGAGUAUAUUCUGAGGUGGUACACUCGAAUAAGUUUAAGUUCUUAAAACAUUAAUUUCGUAUCUCGAAACAGUUGAACUUUGUGUGAAAAUUUAAGUGGACCAAUAUACUGACAAUCUAUGUGAAUCGUUUAGAACUUAAAAUGUCUAAAGCUUAACGGUGUUGGUGAUAUGUUUCAAAAACUGAUAUGAUCCUCUUACACAAACUCACAAAAAUAUUGUUUGUAAAUAUGUCUUUACAGCAUUUCUGUAAAAUAAAAAAUUCAAAAAGAUUUUCGAAGUGUUUUAGCAUAAAUUUUUGAAAAAUUCAAAAAGAUUUUUGAUAAACUGAUGUUGAAAAGCUGAUUUUCAGAAUUCCAAGUGCUAAACAUGAUAAAUAUCAGGUGAAGGGGAGUCUGUUUAAAAUGAGAAAAGAUUUGAAUGUUUUUAUCUACAAGUGAGAAUGUGCACGAAUGAAGUCAUGAAAAAGCCAGGUUCUGAUUCCUGAGCAGAAGUUGAGCCAGAUUGUGAUUCUAGAACCUGUGAAAGCCAGAUUAUGAUCCCAGCACAACUUAAGGGGGAUCAUGUUAGAAAAGAGGAGUUUGUAGAUGAAUAGAGCCAGAUCCAGAUUCUGAAUUUAUAUUCAUACAAGUUGCUGAUGCUAAUGAGGUUAAGAAUUCAAAAGAUCUGAUCAAGAAAAUGUGAAGAGUCAGAUUGAAUUUCUGGAAA
Molecule: long non-coding RNA, 1823 nt
Filed under: Helianthus annuus (common sunflower)
Lineage: Eukaryota; Viridiplantae; Streptophyta; Magnoliopsida; Asterales; Asteraceae
Description: hypothetical non coding rna
Source: RNAcentral